Engraulis encrasicolus (European anchovy) is the source of this 729-nucleotide long non-coding RNA. RefSeq lists it as uncharacterized. The transcript is spliced from 3 exons. NCBI's taxonomy places the organism in Eukaryota, Metazoa, Chordata, Actinopteri, Clupeiformes, Engraulidae. The record is from RefSeq and is a predicted model, not a curated record.
UAGGUCCUGUAGCCCAAGCUCGUGUGGAUCCGCGUUUUACGCACAUGUGGCAUUUGCGUGGAGCGGAGUUCCUGUAUCCAUCUUGGCUGUGGGCCUUUGGCUUUGUCGUAGCCUAUUUGGCAUUGGGCUGGUGUCAUACUCCUCUGCCGGCUGGUUCAUCUGCUCCUGCUUUAGAGACUGUGCCUCAUCACUCGCGGUGGUGAGGAUCCCCAAACUCGCCAAGCGAACUACAGACGGGUUGCUGUUUUGUUUGGAAUGGAUGUGCACCGAGUGUGUGUUUGUCUGAAAACCUGAGUUUGCAUGGUUGCGUUUGGUAUGUGAGACGCGCAUUUGGAUGAAUGCAUGCACGACCUCUGGUUUAGUUGAUUUUAAUAUUUGUGUGGUAUUCUGUGAAGUGGGAACCUUUUGUUUGUCUUUGUUUUGGUUUGUUAACUACAUUACUGUCAUUUUUGUUUACACUGCACUUGUGAUUAGGCUAGUUUACCUGUGCCAAGCUCCUCCAACCCCAUAUUAUCUUGCUUGCAGUGCUAUAGAGUGCCCGUUUGGCACCAGUGUGGUUUGCAGUGAUACUCGUGUAUAAUCAUCAUUCUUUGUUAUUUUUUUUAUUAAUAGUUUGUUGUGUUUGUCUGGGUGGGUUGAUUUUACACUUUGAGUUACAAAGGGUCGGGGAACGUAAUUUGGUAUGUGGACCAUCAAGCGGAUCCAAUUGUGUUUCGUAGACAAUGCUGA